AUUGAACGCUGGCGGCAGGCCUAACACAUGCAAGUCGAGCGGUUGACGGGAGCUUGCUCCCUGAUUCAGCGGCGGACGGGUGAGUAAUGCCUAGGAAUCUGCCUAUUAGUGGGGGACAACGUUUCGAAAGGAACGCUAAUACCGCAUACGUCCUACGGGAGAAAGCAGGGGACCUUCGGGCCUUGCGCUAAUAGAUGAGCCUAGGUCGGAUUAGCUUGUUGGUGAGGUAAUGGCUCACCAAGGCGACGAUCCGUAACUGGUCUGAGAGGAUGAUCAGUCACACUGGAACUGGGACACGGUCCAGACUCCUACGGGAGUCAGCAGUGGGGAAUAUUGGACAAUGGGCGAAAGCCUGAUCCAGCCAUGCCGCGUGUGUGAAGAAGGUCUUCGGAUUGUAAAGCACUUUAAGUUGGGAGGAAGGGUUGUAGAUUAAUACUCUGCAAUUUUGACGUUACCGACAGAAUAAGCACCGGCUAACUCUGUGCCAGCAGCCGCAGUAA
RNAcentral lists this ribosomal RNA (500 nucleotides) under uncultured bacterium. RNAcentral's name for it is "partial 16S ribosomal RNA". It matches the Rfam family "Bacterial small subunit ribosomal RNA", at positions 30 to 523 of the family's 1533-position model. The record is from RNAcentral.